GCCGGCACCAAACGGGACUUUGGGGUUAGUGAGUGCUAUCCAUAUGGGCCCCUAGAAUCAACGUUCUAUGCCAGUUGCACGCUUAUACUCUCCCGCCUUGUAAGCGGAAGGUCGUCCGUUCGAUUCGGACAGCCGGCACCA
This 141-nucleotide transfer RNA is filed under the name Methylibium sp. RNAcentral describes it as "tRNA-Ser". Lineage: Bacteria; Pseudomonadati; Pseudomonadota; Betaproteobacteria; Burkholderiales; Sphaerotilaceae. The record is from RNAcentral.